Molecule: ribosomal RNA, 247 nt
Filed under: uncultured bacterium
Lineage: Bacteria
Description: partial 16S ribosomal RNA
Rfam family: Bacterial small subunit ribosomal RNA
Source: RNAcentral
AGAGAAGCAAGACUGUGAAGAGGAGCCAAACUCAAAAACCGGUCCCAGUUCGGAUUGUAGGCUGCAACUCGCCUACAUGAAGUCGGAGUUGCUAGUAAUCGCGGAUCAGAAUGCCGCGGUGAAUGCGUUCCCGGGUCUUGUACACACCGCCCGUCACACCAUGGAAGUUGGGGGCGCCCGAAGUUGGUCGGGAAAUAGAUUACCUAAGGCGAAACCAAUGACUGGGGUGAAGUCGUAACAAGGUACC